RNAcentral lists this ribosomal RNA (496 nucleotides) under uncultured bacterium. RNAcentral's name for it is "partial 16S ribosomal RNA". It matches the Rfam family "Bacterial small subunit ribosomal RNA", at positions 28 to 507 of the family's 1533-position model. The record is from RNAcentral.
GAUGAACGCUGGCGGCGUGCCUAAUACAUGCAAGUCGAACGCACAGCGAAAGGUGCUUGCACCUUUCAAGUGAGUGGCGAACGGGUGAGUAACACGUGGACAACCUGCCUCAAGGCUGGGGAUAACAUUUGGAAACAGAUGCUAAUACCGAAUAAAACUUAGUGUCGCAUGACACAAAGUUAAAAGGCGCUUCGGCGUCACCUAGAGAUGGAUCCGCGGUGCAUUAGUUAGUUGGUGGGGUAAAGGCCUACCAAGACAAUGAUGCAUAGCCGAGUUGAGAGACUGAUCGGCCACAUUGGGCUGAGACACGGCCCAAACUCCUACGGGAGGCUGCAGUAGGGAAUCUUCCACAAUGGGCGAAAGCCUGAUGGAGCAACGCCGCGUGUGUGAUGAAGGCUUUCGGGUCGUAAAGCACUGUUGUAUGGGAAGAACAGCUAGAAUAGGAAAUGAUUUUAGUUUGACGGUACCAUACCAGAAAGGGACGGCUAAAUACGUG